GAUUGACCUCGGAUCAGGUAGGGAUACCCGCUGAACUUAAGCAUAUCAAUAAGCGGAGGAAAAGAAACCAACAGGGAUUGCCUCAGUAACGGCGAGUGAAGCGGCAACAGCUCAAAUUUGAAAUCUGGCUCCUUCGGGGCCCGAGUUGUAAUUUGUAGAGGACGUUUCGGGUGCGGCCCGGUCUAAGUCCCUUGGAACAGGGCGUCAUAGAGGGUGAGAAUCCCGUAUGUGACCGGUGACCAACCCCAUGUGAAACCCCUUCGACGAGUCGAGUUGUUUGGGAAUGCAGCUCAAAAUGGGUGGUAAAUUCCAUCUAAAGCUAAAUACUGGCCAGAGACCGAUAGCGCACAAGUAGAGUGAUCGAAAGAUGAAAAGCACUUUGGAAAGAGAGUCAAACAGUACGUGAAAUUGUUGAAAGGGAAGCGCUGGCAACCAGACCUGCCCCGGGCGAUCAGCGGGUGUUCUCACCCGUGCACUCGCCCGCGAUCAGGCCAGCAUCGGUUUCGGCGGUCGGAUACAGACCCGGGGAACGUGGCUCUCUUCGGGGAGUGUUAUAGCCCCGGGUGCAAUGCGGCCAGCCGGGACCGAGGACCGCGCUUCGGCUAGAUGCU
Molecule: ribosomal RNA, 611 nt
Filed under: Sphaerophorus globosus
Lineage: Eukaryota; Fungi; Ascomycota; Lecanoromycetes; Lecanorales; Sphaerophoraceae
Description: LSU rRNA
Rfam family: Eukaryotic large subunit ribosomal RNA
Source: RNAcentral